Anolis carolinensis (green anole) is the source of this 1379-nucleotide long non-coding RNA. RefSeq lists it as uncharacterized. The record is from RefSeq and is a predicted model, not a curated record. The transcript is spliced from 4 exons. Lineage: Eukaryota; Metazoa; Chordata; Lepidosauria; Squamata; Anolidae.
CAUUUCUCUUUAAAUAUUUAAAGUAAAUAUAUAUAUUAAAACUUUAUUUAUAACCCACCCUAUCUCCCCAAGAGGACUCAGGGUGGUUUCCAACAAAAAAGAGCAAACAUUCAAUUCUGUCAUUAACUAAACAAAAUAAAUAGACAACCCAACCGAAACUCAGAAAUAAGUCCACAUCUAUAACAAAGUAAUAACAGAUUAUAACAUAAUGAAUCUACCAUGACACAUCUGACAUUAAAACAAAACACAAAUCUUACCUGACUUAAAAUAUAUUUAAAUUAUAAAAAAUAUUAAAAAUUUUAAGCAGCCAACAGAGCAAGGGUGCGAUGCCUAUUGUAAAAUGUAUUAUUCCUCAUUGUCAUCUAUAUUAGGAUAAUUUUCUCCUUUUGGACCCACAUUCUACACUCCAGCUUGUUAUCAGAAUUUCUCCUUCAAUAUCCUGAUUUUGCCAGAUAGAGUUGGAAAGGAUAUUUUUAAAUUUUUGAUUUAUGGUUAGAAAACUCAGUUUGUUUCUGCGUUGAGAAACACUGACAACAAUUCUGGACAAAUUAGAUUCUUCACCGAUUGAAACAUAUUCUGCUCAAAAUUCCCAGAAAUCAGAAGUAACAAUUAGGAAGUUUGUGUUCAAAAUCUAGCUUUAAAAACAGUCCUUACUAGAGGAAAAAGUGUAAACCUUUGCUCUUUAAAUCAGUUUUAUGAUUUUCUCACUCUCCUGCAAUUCACUUUGUGUUUGUUAUGAGAAAUACCAUCUGUAUUCUUACAUAUUUUCCCUCUUUAUUCUUCUGAUAAAUGAAAAUUGCUCACUUUGUGAUGGGAAUGUUUAUGGCAUGACUUUACAUAAGGAGGGAAGAUUAAAGUACCUACAUUUCGCCAAGUUCAAAUAUUUGUGUUUUUUGGGGGAGGAGAGCCAAGGUGUGUUGAGGGGUCAACUAACAUUUUCUCACUAAUGUUCAUUUUCCUUUUUGAAAAGCUUCCACUUCAGGACCCGCUACUGUAGCCCAAUGUGGUGGUACCAUGUCAAACCCCUCUGGAUAUUUCUCUGGGCCAUAUUAUUCUGGAAAUAACAUCACUGAACAGUGUGUCUGGGAAAUUACAGUGGAUCCCUUUCAUUACAUAGUUCUCCGGUUUUCUAUGAUUAGUCUGGACUGCAGUACAGAAUAUGUUGAGAUUCUUGAUGGAGGCUUGAACUCCCCUUUUGUACUUGGGAAAAUGUGCUCUGGGGUCUAUAGCAACUAUACCUAUACCUCAACUUCCAACACAAUGACCAUUCUACUGCACAGAGAUUCAGAUUUAUAUGGAUAUGGCUUUGGUGCUUAUUAUAAUUCUAUCCAAGAAACAUUAACAACUACAACUCUUCCAGUUCAGAAUGAAACUACUGG